GGGCCCGCACAAGCGGUGGAGUAUGUGGUUUAAUUCGAUGCAACGCGAAGAACCUUACCAGGGUUUGACAUCCUGCGAAUCUCUUGGAAACGAGAGAGUGCCUUCGGGCAGAUUACAAGGUGCUGCAUGGUUGUCGUCAGCUCGUGCCGUGAGGUGUCAGGUUAAGUCCUAUAACGAGCGCAACCCCUGCCGUUAGUUGCCAGCAUGUAAUGAUGGGAACUCUAACGGGACUGCCGGUGCAAACCGCGAGGAAGGUGGGGAUGACGUCAAAUCAUCACGGCCCUUACGUCCUGGGCUACACACGUGCUACAAUGGCCGGUACAGAGGGCAGCCACACCGCAAGGUGGAGCGAAUCCUUAAAACCGGUCUCAGUUCGGAUCGGGGUCUGCAACUCGGCCCCGUGAAGCUGGAAUCGCUAGUAAUCGGAUAUC
This 431-nucleotide ribosomal RNA is filed under the name uncultured bacterium. Its description in RNAcentral is "bacterial SSU rRNA". It matches the Rfam family "Bacterial small subunit ribosomal RNA", at positions 917 to 1350 of the family's 1533-position model. The record is from RNAcentral.